UGGGAGGCUGAGCAAGUAAUCACAUGUUGAGGAUGAAGGGAGUAGUUGUCUGCUAGCACUGUGUACAGAGUUGAGAGAUUGCUCAUGACCAUGGCAAAGUCCUGUAGCAGGUUGGGGGUGGUGGAGGAAUGUCAAGAUUUCUCAGGCUUUUUAUUGCUGUGACAAGAGAAUUGCCCCUGAGGAGCUUUCCUCAUCUACCCGCUUCAGGAGUUUGGAGGAGAGGAACAAAUGUCUGCACAGAAGUGGGGCAGUGAGAGAUGCUUUGCUGGUUACCCCUGGUGGGGUGAAGGCAGAAUGCUUACACUACCUUUACUGCCAUGUACUUUGCUAGACGCUUCCACAAACUCGGUCUCUAUGCAGGAAGGAGGAAUGGGCUGGUGCCUUCAGGACUGCGUGGGUAUACCUCUUUAAUUGGAAGGGAAUCCUCACAAAGGGAAUCUGAUUCAUUUUACUCUCAGAUCUCUUGACCUGAGUCCAAGUGACUGCUGUCCAUCCAGGCCUUCUCCUGAUUUCUCUGGGGCUUGGAUGGGCCUUGCUUGGCAUCAGGAUUUGGUGCUGACCUCAGUCUCCAUCUCAUCACCCAGAACCCAGGAGCUGAGAACAGAAGUCCCCAAGCAACACAAGGAAAGAAUUCAGGUAUAAGCUGUCUGGGACAGGUCUCAAUAAGUGUUUUGAGAUAACUUCUAGUUUAAAAGACAUGGCUUCAAAAUCCAAACAAAGGGGAGAUGUCUUGGCACAGUAUCCCAGUAUGUGUUUGAAGAGCAUCACACACCAUGAAACUGAAGGCUUUGGGCAGUGCUGCUGAUUGAAUAAUGCUAAAAUACAAAAUGGAACUGUGAUUGAAUUUGAAAUUUGACCAUAUUUGUUGUCCUCUCAACGUUGUCAGUACACAUUACUGCUUCAUUUUUGCCCAGGAAAAUGGGAAAUACAGACCUUGAAGGUGUAACCUUCUGCCUGGCCCUGCUUCAGGUCAACUUCAGUCUGCAGGUGGCCCAGGCAUGAAUCCUCUGUCAUGCAGCAUGGCACAGAGGGCAUCCCAGCCAUUCCCAGAGCUGCCAGCAAUGCCAUGGCAAACCUUGCCAUGCAUUUGGGCCCUGGCCCAGAACACAUCCUCUACACAUCACUGCUUGCAGAGCAGCAGCUUUCUAC
This 1149-nucleotide long non-coding RNA is filed under the name Serinus canaria (Common canary). RNAcentral's name for it is "lncRNA (ENSSCAG00000011868.1)". The record is from RNAcentral. Lineage: Eukaryota; Metazoa; Chordata; Aves; Passeriformes; Fringillidae.